RNAcentral lists this ribosomal RNA (301 nucleotides) under uncultured bacterium. RNAcentral's name for it is "partial 16S ribosomal RNA". It matches the Rfam family "Bacterial small subunit ribosomal RNA", at positions 509 to 808 of the family's 1533-position model. The record is from RNAcentral.
CAGCAGCCACGGUAAUACGUAGGUGGCAAGCGUUGUCCGGAACUAUUGGGCGUAAAGGGCUCGCAGGCGGUUUCUUAAGUCUGAUGUGAAAGCCCCCGGCUCAACCGGGGAGGGUCAUUGGAAACUGGGAAACUUGAGUGCAGAAGAGGAGAGUGGAAUUCCACGUGUAGCGGUGAAAUGCGUAGAGAUGUGGAGGAACACCAGUGGCGAAGGCGACUCUCUGGUCUGUAACUGACGCUGAGGAGCGAAAGCGUGGGGAGCGAACAGGAUUAGAUACCCCCGUAGUCCCUGUCUCUAUACA